Molecule: non-coding RNA, 92 nt
Filed under: Streptomyces sp. Root264
Lineage: Bacteria; Bacillati; Actinomycetota; Actinomycetes; Kitasatosporales; Streptomycetaceae
Description: sodF sRNA
Rfam family: sodF sRNA
About the family: Identified in Streptomyces coelicolor. It is produced from sodF mRNA by cleavage of about 90 nucleotides from its 3'UTR.
Source: Rfam by way of RNAcentral
GCGUCCCGCCUCGUGAUCGUCUUCUCACCCUUCACGACGGCGGGCGAAAGGAAACGGCGGCCCCGCGAGGACAGGACUCGCGGGGCCGCCGC